CACGCUGAAAUGUCUCGCCUUCUUUACUAAUCAUUGAUAUUAUGUUGAUAGUCCUAAGUAUAAAGCUAAGCUUUAUUACAACUAUCACACAAACAGAACAUUAACCAAGAUAACUAAACAUAGACCAAUGAACCUUGAAAAUGAGGUCAAGGUCAGAUGAACCAUGCCAGGCAGACAUGUACAGCUAACAAUGCUUCUCUACAACAUAUAUAGUUGACCUAUUACUUAUAGUUUAAGAAAAAUAGACCAAAACACAAAAACUUAACACUGUGCAAUGAACCGUGAAAAUGAGGUCACGGUCAAAUAAAACCUGCGCGACUGACAUAAAGAUCAUAAAAUAUUUCCAUUCACCAAAUAUAGUUGACCUAUGGCAUAUAGAAUUAGAUAAAAAGACCAAAACUCAAAAACUUAACUUUGACCACUGAACCAUGAAAAUGAGGUCAAGGUCACAUGACAUAUGCCCGCUAGACAUGUACACCUUACAAUCAUUCUAUACAACAAAUAUAGUAGACCUAUUGCAUAUAGUAUGAGAAAAACAGACCAAAACACAAAAAUUUAACUAUAACCACUGAACCAUGAAAAUGAGGUCAAGGUCAGAUGACACCUGCCAGUUGGACAUGUACACCUUACAGUCCUUCCAUACACUGAAUAUACUAGCCCUAUUGCUUAUAGUAUCUGAGAUAUGGACUUGACCACCAAAACUUAACCUUGUUCACUGAUCCAUGAAAUUAGGUCGAGGUCAAGUGAAAACUGUCUGACAGACAUGAAGACCUUGCAAGGUACGCACAUAUCAAAUACAGUUAUCCUAUUACUUAUAAUAA
Molecule: long non-coding RNA, 821 nt
Filed under: Mytilus galloprovincialis (Mediterranean mussel)
Lineage: Eukaryota; Metazoa; Mollusca; Bivalvia; Mytilida; Mytilidae
Source: RNAcentral